GUUUUUCACGCAAGAUGGAGUUGUGUAGACGGAAGAAGUUGCAUCGACUGCUGUUGUCUUUUGACAGCUACGAUUAAUUAUUUACUAUUUUUUAUUUCUACUCCUUCUAUCACUCUAACAGCGAGAAUAUUGGUCUAUUGGAAUAACGGACUUGGAUGUCAAACUAUAUUUUAGAAUUCAAACACAACUCAACCCAAAAUUGGCUCACGGCUCACUUUCAUUUUCAUUGUAGGUAGCUGAUUAGCGUAAAGAAUCGACGUUACAUAUACCUAUGUGGCCUACAUGAUGAAGUAUCAAGAUGUUGAACCUGGCCAACUCGACAAGAAAUGAUGCAGCAUACUUCAGUCUAAUUCAAUCCAAGAGGUCACACUAUUUUACAGCAAUUAGAAAGCAGUUUGGCCAUCAAUCAAUCAAUCUUCAUGCAUCAAUAUGACCAGUGAGAGUCAAGUGACAAUGUUGAGUUGUUGCGCAGUGCGCACUGCUUCUUCUUCAGGAUGACAUCAAGACCAGACGUGGCAUAAUUUAACCUAACUUUCCAUUUCAGCACUACUUAAUCAAGGUUUUUCUGCCUCUUUAAAGUCUAUCUUUUAGGCUAUUGUAAAGUAUUUAAUUAGAAGUGCACACAAUCAUGGGUAGUUUAGUUUGCUAAAUUGAACCACCGAUGCAGACAUUGAAACCUUUUUUCAGUUCCAGACUAAAUAAAAUUUGUCUAUUCAGCAAUUUGUUAUUGCCAACAAACAGUGCAUGAAGAGUUCAUCCCCUAACCGCUAUUUCAUGUUCCGUGACACGCGGGAUACGAAUUACUUGAAAUCUAAACUCAGGCGAAGGAGCAACCCGGAAGCGGCUCACCUCUGGAAGUUGAAUGUUGAGCGAAGAUGAGUAUUCUAUAAAGUUCAAAUGAAUUUUAUUUAAAUCUUAAACGUGUCAUCUAAUUUAAUGUAAAUUCUAGUUUAACAAUCGUCACAGAUAAUGUUGCAGUAGAAUAUUUUGGUUUAUUAUUUGAAUUGAUAUAAUGUUCACGUUUAGCGGUGAUGUUGCUGUCAAAUGUGGCAUGUUGUUGCAGUCUUAGGUGGUGCUGCUGCUGCACAAACAGUGCAGGACGAAUUCAACUCGUGAUUGCUGUUUCAUGUGCGCCGACACGCAGGAUGAAUUUUGAUGCUUAAGACUUGGAAACAUGCUGUCCACCACAUCCAGAAGCUGAGUAACAUUUUACAUGUGGAUGUGGAAAGUUCUGAAUGGCAUCUUAUAAUAUAAGGAGCUUCCACCAACCAGUCUAGGACUUGCAUCUAAUUGUGCAGGUUUCGUGGAGUUCUCAUUUACCUUUGCUGUGAACAUCAUGAACACAUACACUAUUUGAAGGUUCAUGUUUACGGAGCAGUGGUGUUGCUGUCCAAUGUGGUGUGUUGUUGCAGCCUAUGGUGGUGAAAGAUAUCUGCAUCAAGUUGCUGUUCCUUGUGCAUCCAAGGUGCUGGUUUUGUGCUACAGAAGUGACAUCCAAUUUUGUUUAUAAUUGCUAUUUGUGCCUUUGCAGUUUAUCUUUAUAUAUUGAGAAGGAAAAAAAAAGUAUUACGGGGAGGUUUAUGUCAAACAAAUAAUAAACAUGUCCAGGAUGGGGGAAUGAGGAGGAAGUUGGAGUGGGGUAUUUGAUUAUGAUUUACUAAAAGAAGUGAGGUAUAUUUUUAAUGAAUAUGCAGUACUUGGUGAUAGAAACUGUUGUUAACCUAUACCUUCCUGUCAACCUAUACCUUCCCUACUUCCACUUACACAUCCAUUCCUCAAACCCCAUAAGCACCAACACCAAAUCCCACAUCCACUCACAUCCAUUCCUAAAACCCCACAAUCCCCAACAACAAAUUCACACAAUAAUUGUAUAUCUAUUAUCAUAUUAAUAGCAAAUAAAUAAAAUGUAUUGUAUAAAAA
Molecule: long non-coding RNA, 1920 nt
Organism: Daphnia pulex (common water flea)
Lineage: Eukaryota; Metazoa; Arthropoda; Branchiopoda; Diplostraca; Daphniidae
Exons: 8
Source: RefSeq, a predicted model, not a curated record